GCCAGUGUGGUGUAGUGGCCUGAGCAUUGGACUAUGACUCUGGAGAUCAGGGUUCAAAUCCCUGCUUGGCCA
Molecule: transfer RNA, 72 nt
Filed under: Phrynosoma platyrhinos (Desert horned lizard)
Lineage: Eukaryota; Metazoa; Chordata; Lepidosauria; Squamata; Phrynosomatidae
Description: tRNA-OTHER
Rfam family: tRNA (bases 9-72)
About the family: Transfer RNA (tRNA) molecules are approximately 80 nucleotides in length.
Source: RNAcentral